This 395-nucleotide ribosomal RNA is filed under the name Caliraja rhina (longnose skate). RNAcentral describes it as "partial 12S ribosomal RNA". It matches the Rfam family "Bacterial small subunit ribosomal RNA", at positions 784 to 1377 of the family's 1533-position model. The record is from RNAcentral. Lineage: Eukaryota; Metazoa; Chordata; Chondrichthyes; Rajiformes; Rajidae.
ACCCCACUAUGCCUAACCAUAAAUAGACCUUUACCACCCCUUACUUUGUUUAAGUCCGCCUGAGUACUACAAGCGCUAGCUUAAAACCCAAAGGACUUGGCGGUGCCCCAGACCCCCCUAGAGGAGCCUGUUCUAUAACCGAUAAUCCCCGUUAAACCUUACCACUUCUUGCUUUUACCGCCUAUAUACCGCCGUCGUCAGCUCACCCCAUGAGGGCACAGAAGUAAGCAUAACGGACUUCCUCCAAAACGUCAGGUCGAGGUGUAGCGAAUGAAGUGGAAAGAAAUGGGCUACAUUUUCUCUAAAGAAAAUACGGACAGUAAAAUGAAAAAUCACUUAUAAGGUGGAUUUAGCAGUAAGAAGAACUUAGGAUAUUUUUCUGAAGUCGGCUCUGA